AGUGCCAAAAGGAAUCUACUUCUCUUGCAUCUAUGUCUUCACUCUUAACAAUCUCUUAAUUUAUCCUCUUCAUUUCCACAGUCAAUGGCUUCACAUGACCAUCAUCAUCCUGAUCAUCACCAUCACGAUCAUACCCAUCAUGAUGGAGAUUCAGCUACGCAAUCAUGGGUAGGUCCAGAUGGGAGGGUGUACCAUAGCCACGACGGACUUGCACCACACUCACAUGAACCCAUUUACUCUCCUGGUUUCUUCAGGAGAAGAGCUCCUCCUCUUCUAUCCAGAGACUUCAAUGAGAGAGCCUUCACUGUUGGUAUUGGUGGUCCUGUUGGUACUGGGUGACAAAUGAUAUAUUCACAAAAGAGGAUGGUGAGUUCCUGAUGAAGAAUGGUUCUCUGCCCGAGGAAAGGAUACAUGCUGUGGAAACGGGACGCUGUCCACAUGCUGCAAUUCGCGAAGAUAUAAGCAUAAACCUUGGCCCUCUUGAGGAACUUACUAACUUUUUCAAAGCCGACAUACUUCUUUGUUAAUCCGGGGGAGAUAAUUUAGCUGCCAACUUUAGCAGGGAGCUGGCUGACUAUAUCAUUUAUAUAAUUGAUGUAUCUGGUGGUGAUAAAAUUCCUUGGAAAGGUGGCCCAGGCAUCAACCAAGCUGAUCUUCUAGUGACCUGCACCAGCAGUCGGAGCUGACUUAGCAGUAAUGGAGUGUGACGCACUCAAGAUGCGUGAGGGAGGGCCUUUUGUCUUUGCUCAGGUAGGUUGAGGCAGUAUUUGCAUUUGCUUGAUUUAAGCAUGAAGGAACCUGGUGUAUUCUGACUUGUGGAAGUUACUCGAUUACUAAAAAUGAAGUUAUUAUAUAAUAUCAUUUUGGUUUAUACUUAAAUCGUAUUUCAGUGUAACCUCCUGGCAUUGUUUCAUCUUGAAAUCUGUAAACCAGCAUGUAGCAAUAAAUGUCCCCUCUCAUGGCUUUCUUUCUGAAUAUGCAGAUAUGAAUCGUUUAAUUAAUGAGUAGUAUCAUCCCAGAACCCAAUUGAGUUUA
This is an RNA transcript of Pistacia vera, 1035 nucleotides long. It is a transcript of the gene named urease accessory protein G-like, with no coding region annotated. NCBI's taxonomy places the organism in Eukaryota, Viridiplantae, Streptophyta, Magnoliopsida, Sapindales, Anacardiaceae. The record is from RefSeq and is a predicted model, not a curated record. The transcript is spliced from 5 exons.